CGGCGGACGGGUGAGUAACACGUGGGUAACCUACCUAUAAGACUGGGACAACUUCGGGAAACCGGAGCUAAUACCAGAUAAGAUAUCGAACCGCAUGGUUCGAUAGUGAAAGAUGGUUUUGCUAUCACUUAUAGAUGGACCCGCGCCGUAUUAGCUAGUUGGUGAGGUAACGGCUCACCAAGGCAACGAUACGUAGCCGACCUGAGAGGGUGAUCGGCCACACUGGAACUGAGACACGGUCCAGACUCCUACGGGAGGCAGCAGGC
This 266-nucleotide ribosomal RNA is filed under the name uncultured Staphylococcus sp. RNAcentral describes it as "partial 16S ribosomal RNA". It matches the Rfam family "Bacterial small subunit ribosomal RNA", at positions 96 to 354 of the family's 1533-position model. The record is from RNAcentral. Lineage: Bacteria; Bacillati; Bacillota; Bacilli; Caryophanales; Staphylococcaceae.